Macrobrachium nipponense is the source of this 6443-nucleotide RNA transcript. It is a transcript of the gene named syntaxin-1A-like, with no coding region annotated. The record is from RefSeq and is a predicted model, not a curated record. NCBI's taxonomy places the organism in Eukaryota, Metazoa, Arthropoda, Malacostraca, Decapoda, Palaemonidae. The transcript is spliced from 10 exons.
UAUCUUCUGUCUCUCUUUCUCUCUCUCGUGUUUGGGAGGGUAUCGAUUUUUGGCCAGUAUUCAGUUGGGUACUGUUCAUGCCACGAGUGGGAAUGUGUAUCUUAGUGUUGGAACAGUGAUUUUUUCUUAACGUAGCUGUGUUUUUAAGUGAGAGGGUUCCACUGUAACCACCCUUCAAAGAGAAAAAAUGACGAAGGACAGACUUGCAGCGCUGAAGGCGGCGCAGAGCGACGAGGAUGAUGUUGGUCCCGACGACGUUGCCGUCAAUGUGGACGGCAAUGUGGGUUACAUGGACGAAUUCUUCAAUGAGGUGGAGGAGAUACGAGAGAUGAUAGAAAAGAUAUUAAACAAUGUCGAAGAAGUUAAGAAAAAGCACAGCGAUAUUCUAUCGGCGCCGCAACCGGAUGAAAAGGUUAAGCAGGAACUAGACGACAUGAUGACAGAUAUAAAGAAAACGGCAAACAGAGUAAGAGCUAAACUUAAAGUUAUUGAACAAAACAUCGAAUCGGAAGAGCAUGUCAGUAAGGCGAGCGCAGAUUUAAGGAUAAAGAAGACGCAGCACUCAACACUCAGUCGAAAAUUUGUAGAAGUUAUGACAGAGUACAACCGCACCCAAACUGAUUACCGUGAACGUUGUAAAGGAAGGAUACAAAGACAGCUCGAAAUUACCGGUCGAAAUACAACCAGUGAUGAAUUAGAAGAGAUGUUAGAAAAGGGGAAUCCAGCAGUCUUCACACAAGGGAUUAUUAUGGAAACGCAGCAAGCAAAACAAACUUUAGCAGAUAUAGAAGCCCGUCACAACGACAUCAUCAAGUUGGAAAAUUCCAUAAGAGAACUUCAUGACAUGUUUAUGGACAUGGCCAUGUUAGUGGAGAGUCAGGGGGAGAUGAUUGAUAGGAUUGAAUAUCACGUAGAUCAGUCCGUCGAAUAUGUCGGCAAAGCUAUGGAGGACACUAAAAAGGCACUUAAGUAUCAAAGCAAAGCACGUAAGAAGAAGAUCAUGAUCAUGGUCUGUGUCUCGGUUCUCUGUGUUGUCCUGAGUCUGAGCGGCGCCUCCUACCUCGGCCUAAUUUAACCUUCUACUACUUCGUUGUAAUUAAAUUAAUAACUCUACUACCCUCUACUGGUAACGAGCCUCCAGUACAUGCUAGAUUUUCUUCUUCUUCAUUGAAAGGCGCGUUGUCUCUAUCUUUCCUGGUGUCCCCGUCUUGUGUCUUGUACAUAGUGUAGUCAAUCUCAAUGGUUAUUAGAUCUUGUUAUCUCUCCGUGCUGGACAUCCUGGAAGUUUCAAGACAUCUGGAAGCAGCUGAUUUUUUUCUACCAAGUUAAUAUGGCAACUUCAUGGAUCUGGCUGGUUUAUGCAUCUUCCAAAUGCUGAUAUGAAUAUGCGUUCGAGAAUCAUUUUAUAGUUAUAAUCGGAAAUUGUCAUUAUAAAUAAGAGUGCUGGCUUUAUGAAGGUCGGUCAGUCAGUCAGUCAUCAAAACUAGGACGAUUAAAUUUGUUCGAGCCUUGUAUUCACUUUUAUACAGUAUUACUACAACCGUUAAAGAAAGCCAUUUGUAAUUAAACAAAACCCAAAAUAACAAAAGACUGAAUCCUGUCAUUUGCACAUUCUGGAUUCUCCUGUUGAUGCUUAUAAUUUUCCUUGUUAAUAAAAACUCGAUCCUGUCCUGGAGAAGAUUAUGUGGCCCAGAAAAAGGAUGUGCAGUGCAGAGAGAACAAAAGAGAAAGAGAGAGUGUGAACUGCAGGUGGCUCCCCGCCAUAUGCGGUCAGCAAGGCAAUCAAGGUUCAUAUCUCAUAGAUGCUGUAUGUCUCAUCUUUCCCAUAGUGGUGUAGGUAUCACUCUAAAAGUGGUCCUCCACCAGGACUACCAAGAAGUAUUUCCCAACAUCGAAUGACUUUCCCAAAGUGUCACUCUACUUUGUUAAAAACAUUUGGAUUAUGAUCAUUCAUGACCUGGCUAUACUAGAGAGAUCAAAUCAAAUACUGAUCAAAGGCUUGUAUUGAAUUAUUAUUAUUGUUGCAGCAGAAGUUAUCAUUCUUAAUAGUUGACUAUGAUACAGUUCCAUAAUCUAUGUGCAUUACUGCUGAUUCUGUAACUUAGGCAAAUUAUCCAAAGUAAACUAGACACUGGUGCUUGACCGUACAGUAGUCAUUACAGUAGUCAUUAAAAGCUCCGGGACUUGAAGUGUAUGACGAUAAAAAAUAAAAAAAAUAAAAAAAAGAGAGAGAGAGAGACCUGUUGCUGGCCGAAUGUGAGUGGCAUUAUAAUAAUUAUAAUUAAUGAUAAUUGAGUAAUGAUAUAUUAAUAAUAAUUGCAGUAUGGGAAGUAGAAGACUAAUAUUUUCAGCUUUAACAUUCUAAGGUCUGUAGUUAAUGUUGAGAUUGAUGCACCAUCAUCAUUUUGUUCCUGUUUUUACACUGUAGAUGGCAUUGUAUAAAAUGUAUUUAUUGUUUGUAAAAUAUGAGAUUUUUUUGACUGGGCCGUGUUAGUUAAUUGUUUGUUGAAAAUGUUGAAAAUAGUGAUUGCCCCUACAGCUCUUCAUGAAACUGAAGCUUCAUGUGUUUCAACGACCAUUGUCUGUGGUAGUCUAUAGUAUUGCUGGGAGACCUCUGAACAUUCCGUUAGUAGUCAGUCAGUCAGUGAGUCAGUCACUUUGUGUCUUUCGAGAUACAGCUAGGUGUUGACAGAAAACAAGUCAAGCUCACAUGUCUAAGGUUAAAUUCUUCCAUGAGAAAGAGCAGCAAAUUUCAAUGAGAGCAUAGUUUUACAUGAAAUUUUUGCCUUUAAUUGGUACUUCAGAACACACUGUUAGGCUUACACCCGUUCACUUAGAUUAGAUCUGGUUAACCGUUCAGAAUCACUGUAACAUGAGCUAUUUAGAAGGGUCUCCCAGCUUACAAUUUGUUUGAAUUAGAUUUUUAAAAUUUUACCUUUUUAUGAUCAUGUUGGCAGUUGACCAAUAGGUAAGGCUGGCGUUUGUGGGGGAGGGGGGCAUAUUUACAGAGGUGGAUUUAUCUCUGAAUUUGAGGGAAUUCUGAUUUAUGUGCCAGAGACACUGCCUGCGACUGUUACUAAUAUUGCUACGUAUUGUGAUACUUGACUAAGAAACAGAAGAAAAAAAUCUGAAUUUCAAAUGUUGACUGUCAGUUUUAAUGGUAAGGUUUUCUCCCGAAAUUACUACUGUACAAGCCUUUGUCCCUGAACCACAAAGCACUUUUCCCUCUACAAGUGGCCUAUACUUUGGAAGCAUUUUAUAAAAUUGAAGUAAGGUCACUGACAAGACUUGGUUAGGAAAAAACUUUGUUAUAGUAUUAAAUUCAUAUUGAAUUUUGCUGGAAAUGCCUUUCUCUGUGGUAUCUCUGAUUGUCUUCUUCAUAUGUGGCAUAAUUGAUGACCUUGUCCUGGCAGCUGGGAGAGGUGUUUCUUCUUUUGUUACUAUUUGUAGUAGUUUCUUAAUAAAUAUAUAUAUCAGUCUACCACAGGGAACCAAGCGUCAAGAAAUCAGUACCAACCAUUCUUUCUUUUUUUCUUUUGUCACAAAAUCAUUAACUGAACUCUUUUGGGAACAGGUGGAAGGUGCAAAGUUGGUUUCUUGACGCAACUAGUUGUUACUCUUAUCUCAAAAGAUGCAAAAGGUUUCCUCCAUUGUAGCGUGAACUGAUUAGUUAGAGCAAUAAUACAUUUUAACAUUCAUCAACCAAUGCAUAUCCUAGAUUUACUCUCCUAAAAGUGAUAUAAUGUCCAUUGGAAAGAUAAGUCCUCUUUGAUAUUGCAUUUACUCUUAGAAUUUUUAGAAGAGUUUACCAUACAGUUUGAUUGCAAUGUACUAACUUCUUGUAUGUCUGUGUUCAUGGAACAUUUCAUUGGUCAUUAUAUCCCGCCAGAAUUGUAAGUAGGACCUUCACUGUUGAGAUGCACAUUGGUAGCAUAUAAUAUUCUGUAAUCAUGUUGUAGGAUAUAAAGCAAAAGAUAACUUUUUGAAUUCACUGCCAAGCUCACAACACAAAGUCAUUACGGAAAAAUAAUUGAGUGAUCAGCACGCUAUUGUUGUGUGCAUUGUUGAGAAUGGCUACUUGUUAAGGGCUUCGUUUGUGGCCUAGUGGCUAUACUCGCUUUGCAUAACCUAUUCAAGCAAAAAAGUGAAUGAAAAAAGACAAAAAUCUAAGGAACAUAAAACCAUGGACUGUUUUUUAUAGGAGGAAUCACUUCAAGGAAUCUUAUUAUAUCCCAAAUUGGGAAUUUUUGAAUGUAGUUAUACAGUAAUCGUAUUUGAAAGAGGUGUGUCAAGGUAGCACUCAGCCGCCGCAGCAGUGUUAUCCCCGACAUUAAUGUUGGCGUGUCUCUCUUGAGCUGCUUCGUGCAAAGCCCAGUAGGUCAACUUACUGAUCAUACUAUGCAUUUUUGUGUUUUUCAAAUGUUAUAAAAAAAACCCUUUUCCUCUUAAUGUCAGUUGCCCUUUUUUUAGCCUAGAGUAAAUAGGUAAGAGUAGAGAAUGUCGCCCCUUUGCAGUUUCUGAUUAAUGGAAAUAUGUGAUCAGUGAUUCUGAGCCUCUAGUUAAAAGUAAUCUUCAACUAGUCUCAUUUUUGCUUCGUUUAUUGAAAGGAAAAUGGGCCUUUUUGAAAAAGAGAGCUAAACUUGGAAACUGUUACUGUCCCUUUCUUCUUAAGUAACUGUCGAUUUGUUAUCUUACGCUCGUAGGAAACUACUAGUCAAAGUCUCUGUUGACAGAAGACUGCUGCUUUCAAUACGACAUUUGCACUGAGUUGCGUUCUGGAGGCAGUGUACCCAGUAGAACUGAUAGUUUCAAAGUGAAACUAAAGUAACCUAAAACGUUUAUCCAAGGUAAUUCUCAAGUAAUGUGACGUGAAAAAAAGAAGGCUCAUUUUCUUUUAAUAAUAACAAGCAAGAGGGAGAGAAAGUGAGAGAAUCUGAGUGGAAGAAACUGUCAUAAGAAUUGUUACCAUACCUCAAGGCUCAAAAGUGUCAUAUUCAUGUCACCUGUUAAUAAACUCAUUUCCUUAAGUAAUGUCAAUAGUAUGUUGAAUCGUAGCCUAUUGAAGAAGAUUAAGCUUGAGAGUAACGAUGAGCCUUUUUAUCCUUUCCAGUGGGCACAUUUUUAUAUCCAGUUAGUAGGAUGUUUGUACCUUGUGUUAGGAGGCUAUAGAUACUUCAGAACAUAUGUAAAAGUCAUUGAUAAUGGAUUUUUUUAAUUGAAACAUUUUCUGACUUCGUUGUUGAAUGAUCAUUAUCAUAAUUCAGUAUGAAGAUUAGCAAGGACCUGGAUAUGAUUCUUUUUCUUGUUAGUUAUUGGGCCACAAUUCAUAUAAAAACUAAAAUGUAUUGCACACCGUAAUAAAAAAAAAUGUCUGACAUUUCAGUGGAUUAUCUCAAUUUAACUACUAUUCACAAGCAAAGGAACAUCAAAAUGACUUCUGACCAAUCUCCCAAAUAGACCGCAUUAUAAUGAAGACCAACAAAGGCUCCAGAUGCCAAAUCCAACAUAGCUAAUAAUAACACACCAUUACAAGAAAUCGUAACACGUCCAGUUCUUGCUUCUUUUUCAUACCCGAUCUUGUGUUGUGAUGAUCAGCUAUUGUACGUGUGUGUGUCAGUUGUUUCCCAAUUUCAUGCGACCGUUCCAACCCACUGCUCGGGGGACCCCCUCUGUUUGGUAUUGUGAUAGAGAUGUGUGUGUGUGUGUCUACUGAUAAAUGGAUCAUGUUACAAUAUGUGAUUUAGAUGGAAAAGCCUUAAGUUUCUUAGAGGUGAUUUUGUAAGACUGAGAACAUAUUAUUUUCUAAUACAAGAAUUGAUUUUGCUUCUGUCUCCUUCUUUUAGCUGGACACAAAUUCAAGUUAGGAUGAUAACCAUUUUUUUCUCUUAUUUUGUAUAGUUUUCUAUAACUAGCCAUUUGUGAAUUUCAGUCUUAAGCGUCAAGAGACCGCCAAGUAUUGUGAACACAUUAGUUUACCACCUUAGGCUUAGCUCACUGAUGUGUUGAUUUUGUAUGCAUUUAUUUUUUAACUGCAGGUAGCACAAACAUCACUCCCUUUUUGAAUACAGUGUAUUAUUAGACAUUUAUAAUAAAAAUGUACAUACCAGGAAGAUAUUUAGGGUCUCCUCCCACCAACUUGUUAAAAAGUAUGAGGUUUCGACCAAGAAUCUAAGAAUUGCACUGAAACACUUUUAUAAAAUAUUAUUUUAAGUAAUUCAUGUAAUAAUACUUCAAAGACUGUAUCUGAUCACUAAGACACUUGAGAUAAACCAUAAGUACUUUCUUGGAAUGUUAUAUGAAAUUUUCAUGACUUGUUUGUUUCAUAAACUCUUGUAACCCCCAGCAUUAGUUUGGGAUGGCCAUUCUACUCUGCGAUUCAAGUCUUUACCAUGUACAUUCCAAGCUUACAAGUUACAAAGUGAAUAUAGUUGAUAAGCAAUAUA